UACGGGGGGGGCAAGCGUUGUUCGGAAUUACUGGGCGUAAAGGGCGCGCAGGCGGCUAUCCAAGUCAGGCGUGAAAGCCCCGGGCUUAACUUGGGAGGUGCGUCUGGGACUGGGUGGCUAGAGUUCGGGAGAGGAGAGUGGAAUUCCCAGUGUAGAGGUGAAAUUCGUAGAUAUUGGGAAGAACACCGGUGGCGAAGGCGGCUCUCUGGACCGAGACUGACGCUGAGGCGCGAAAGCGUGGGGAGCAAACAGG
This 253-nucleotide ribosomal RNA is filed under the name uncultured bacterium. Its description in RNAcentral is "partial 16S ribosomal RNA". It matches the Rfam family "Bacterial small subunit ribosomal RNA", at positions 524 to 776 of the family's 1533-position model. The record is from RNAcentral.